Etheostoma spectabile (orangethroat darter) is the source of this 268-nucleotide long non-coding RNA. RefSeq lists it as uncharacterized. The transcript has 3 exons. The record is from RefSeq and is a predicted model, not a curated record. Lineage: Eukaryota; Metazoa; Chordata; Actinopteri; Perciformes; Percidae.
UAGAGAUGUUCCGAUACAAGUAUUGCCUCCGAUACUACCUAAAAUGCUGGUAUCGGGUAGUAUUGGAGUUUAUACACCGAUCCGAUACCCCGUAAAAUAAACCUACAGAAAUUCUAUGUUAAAGUAGUUUAUUUAUGUUCUUUUUCCCGUUAUAACUGACUGACAAACUGGAUACCUAAAAAAGUUCUAUGGCAUUCAUUCUUUGUAUGUAUUUGUUCAUGUUUUGCAAAGGGUUUAACCUGAGCCAGGCCAUACAACAAUGAUAGCA